UGACACAUUUUAAUAGUGACAGAGUCAAUCAAGGUCCAUUUAAUCACAGCAUUUACACUGAAUUUCAGUCAUAAAGGACCUCAGAGGUUAUAAAAUUCAACCUAUCAAAUCAUGUAAGGAACCUGAGUGCUGAUCAGAGGUAAGAUUUGAACCGAGAUUUCUUUGACUUUAGAGUCAAUACGCC
Molecule: long non-coding RNA, 184 nt
Filed under: Monodelphis domestica (gray short-tailed opossum)
Lineage: Eukaryota; Metazoa; Chordata; Mammalia; Didelphimorphia; Didelphidae
Description: lncRNA (ENSMODG00000048654.1)
Source: RNAcentral